Molecule: ribosomal RNA, 962 nt
Filed under: Proteocephalus macrocephalus
Lineage: Eukaryota; Metazoa; Platyhelminthes; Cestoda; Proteocephalidea; Proteocephalidae
Description: 16S ribosomal RNA
Rfam family: Archaeal large subunit ribosomal RNA (bases 640-920)
Source: RNAcentral
UAAUCUCAUGGUUUAACUAAUUAUUUUUUAGGUUUGUUUGCCUUUUGCAUCAUGCUCAACAGAGUUUUGUAAAAGAUUAUUAUUAACCGAAAAGCCUAGAUUUUAUUAUUAGUUGUUUAGAACUAAUGUCGAGUAGACUAAAUAAAAUUAAUAAUAGGAUGUGAUAAAUUAGACGUUGGGUUUUAUAUCUGUUUUACAACUUAAAAUUUUGAUUUACCAACUUGGUUAAGAUAUCAAGUUGGGGUAUAUAUUAUUAAUUUAUUUAAAUUUUAAUAAGGUUAAAGGUACCUUUUUGUUAAAAAAUUGUUUCAAAUUUUUAAAUUUACUGAUUAAUAAUUAUUCUAAGGGUUGUUUUAAAAAAAUUUUUAGGAUUUAAUUAUUUUUGAAUAAGUAAUAAAAAAAAAUCAAACAUUUCUCGAGUCUUGCCCGUCUGUUUAUUAAAAACAUUUCCAUGUUUAAAUUUAUAUGGUAGUACCUGCUCUAUGUUUAUUAUUAAUGGCCGCAGUAUCUUGACUGUGCGAAGGUAGCAUAAUUAAUUGCCUUAUAAUUGAAGGCUUGUUUGAAUGGUUUGACGUGGUAAGUACAAAUGUUUGAUUUUUUUUUGAAAUUAAUAUUGAGGGCACAGAAUCCUCUUUUGUUAAUUAGACGGAAAGACCCCAGGAUCUUUGUUUUUUUGUCUGGGGCAGAUUUGUAUAUUUUAUACUUAUUUUGAUCCUUUAAAGGUUUAAUGAUUUAAGUUACCCUGGGGAUAACAGUGUAAUAGUUUACUAGAGUUCUUAUCGAAUAAACUGUUUGCUACCUCGAUGUUGACUUAGGUAAAUAAGUCAGGCGCAGUAGUCUGGUUUAUUGGUCUGUUCGACCAUUUUUACCUCCAUGAGUUGAGUUAAGACCGGCGUAAGCCAGGUCGGUUCUUAUCUAUUUUUCUGGCCUAUUAGUACGAAAGGAUUGUAGGUUAUUUUUUU